RNAcentral lists this ribosomal RNA (788 nucleotides) under uncultured Pseudomonadota bacterium. RNAcentral describes it as "bacterial SSU rRNA". It matches the Rfam family "Bacterial small subunit ribosomal RNA", at positions 28 to 860 of the family's 1533-position model. The record is from RNAcentral. Lineage: Bacteria; Pseudomonadati; Pseudomonadota.
AGCGAACGCUAGCGGCGGGCCUAACACAUGCAAGUCGAGCGCCCUUCGGGGAGCGGCGAACGGGUGAGUAACACGUAGGUAAUCUGCCCUUUGGUGGGGGAUAGCCCGGGGAAACCCGGAUUAAUACCGCAUAUGGUCUUCGGAUCAAAGCCUUCGGGCGCCAAAGGAUGAGCCUGCGGCCCAUUACCUAGUAGGUGGGGUAACGGCCUACCUAGGGAACGAUGGGUAGCUGGUCUGAGAGGAUGAUCAGCCACACUGGAACUGAGACACGGUCCAGACUUCUACGGGAGGCAGCAGUGGGGAAUAUUGCGCAAUGGGCGAAAGCCUGACGCAGCCACGCCGCGUGUGUGAUGAAGGCUUUCGGGUCGUAAAGCACUGUCGGGAGGGAAGAAGAUCUGACGGUACCUCCCAAGAAAGCACCGGCUAACUCCGUGCCAGCAGCCGCGGUAAUACGGAGGGUGCGAGCGUUGCUCGGAAUCACUGGGCGUAAAGCGUACGUAGGCGGAUUGUUAAGUCGGGUGUGAAAGCCCAGGGCUCAACCCUGGAAUUGCGCUCGAUACUGGCAGUCUUGAGUACGGGAGAGGGAUAGCGGAAUGUCUGGUGUAGAGGUGAAAUUCGUAGAUAUCAGACGGAACACCAGUGGCGAAAGCGGCUUCCUGGCCCGAUACUGACGCUGAGGUACGAAAGUGUGGGGAGCAAACAGGAUUAGAUACCCUGGUAGUCCACACCGUAAACGAUGAGUGCUAGCUGCUGGGAAUGUUACCGUCUCAGUGGCGAAGCUGACGCAU